GCCUGGCUGGUUUAGUUGGUAGAGCAUGUGACUAGUGAUCUUAUGAUCAUGAGUUCAAACCCCGUGUUGGAUG
Molecule: transfer RNA, 73 nt
Filed under: Mustela putorius furo (domestic ferret)
Lineage: Eukaryota; Metazoa; Chordata; Mammalia; Carnivora; Mustelidae
Rfam family: tRNA
About the family: Transfer RNA (tRNA) molecules are approximately 80 nucleotides in length.
Source: Rfam by way of RNAcentral